GGACCCAGCGCUGUCCAGAGGCCUAGAGGAGACGGACAAAGGGGCAUCAACCACAGCUUUCCGGGAAAGAUGCCCGAGGCCUGCCUUUGACCUGGAUUUCGGAAAAGAUCAAAGCCUGAGCCGAAGAGAAAGCAUGACAGGCAAAACUCUGAGGGAGAAAAAAACACAGUAAAAACCAGCCUGCAAAUGGAACCCUUUCAUGUUGCCCGUGAUCUGCAGCUCAGAAGGGAUGCAGCCUCUGAAGAAACCCAAAACACCUAGUCAGUAAGUGACCUAAAGUGAGUUUCCAGAGCAAGGGACUCAGAGGCAGAAAUCGCAUCCUGCUGCGCAGCUAAGAAAAUGCCGCGUGCGCAAUGGCUGUCCCCAACAUAAUUACAUAAAAUGAAAGCCACAAAGGGAAGAAUCGACAAGGGGAGGGGACUGAGUCUGCGGAGCCCCAAGGUUAAAUGCUGGGACAAGAAGAGAUGUAAACAAGAGAAAUCUUUCAACACAACAAUUUGAGACGUAAUGGUCCACAGAGGCGCACUCUGCAGGUGUACGGCAAGUACUUGGCUGCAUUAUUCCAUCCCGCGGUCCCAUUUUCUCUUGUCAAGAGGCCUUUGACUGGGGACACAAUUGUCUUCCAAAGAAAGGCUGAAAUGCCAUGUGAAUAACUUGAGUGAUAGACUGUAGCAUCUUGGAUGCUCAAGAAAAAGCAAUGUUAAUGGAUUUGUACACUAAUAACAUAAAAAGGGAGGAAGGGGAAGGCCCCACCAGGCCACUGCAAAAGCACAUCCAAGAGCCUUCUUCUGAGGUGCUGCUGGGCAACGAAGGCUUUGGUAAAAACAUUCCUCCCCUCGGUGAGGACAAAGGAUGCCUGGGUUCCUGAGGGGCCAGGCCUGACGCUGCUCUCUGCCUCCCCCAGUGUUCAGCCUGGACUAAGCCUUCCUUCUCAUAUUCUCAAAGCAUUAGCAGGUAUUUCCCCACAAAUCUGGGGCGUGUAGCUCCCUGUCCAGCCUCCCCAAAACAGUAUCUCUGAGCCAGGCCCAAGGCAGCCUUCCUCUCUCAGGAAUACCUGAUAACAAAGCAUCCCGGGAGCCCUGACUGGUGUGAAUUGAGCACUGGCUUGUGAACCGAAGGGUCACUGGUUCGAUUUCCGGUCAGGGCGCAUGCCUGGGUUGCAGGCUAGGUCCCGGCAGGAAUGUGGGAAGCAACCACGCAUUGAUGUUUCUCUCUCCCUCUUUCUCCC
Molecule: long non-coding RNA, 1228 nt
Organism: Artibeus jamaicensis (Jamaican fruit-eating bat)
Lineage: Eukaryota; Metazoa; Chordata; Mammalia; Chiroptera; Phyllostomidae
Exons: 3
Source: RefSeq, a predicted model, not a curated record